Molecule: long non-coding RNA, 385 nt
Organism: Tyto alba (common barn owl)
Lineage: Eukaryota; Metazoa; Chordata; Aves; Strigiformes; Tytonidae
Exons: 3
Source: RefSeq, a predicted model, not a curated record
UAUGACAUAACAAGACUCUUAUUACACAGAGGAGAGGAAGAAAUGAGAACACUGAAUGCCUUGAAGUGUGCCACUGCAUGAAUACAUCAUGGAUGGGAAAACAAAGUGCCUUGGGAGUAAGAGGGCUUCAGCAACACCUUGCCUGCCUCACACCAUACUGCACAGAGACGAGCACUGAAUGCUGAUGGGAGCAGAGCAGCAGCUCAAGGGAGACGAGUAACGGUCCUGCUCUGUGGCCUCUCACUGCCAGUCAUCGAUCCUGAGUGCUCCACAAAGUCCUUCAAGGAACAUGACCACCAGUUCAGCAAUGACAACGCUGUUGACGGAUGUCAGGACAAACUCCUCGGCACGAAGUGUGAUGAGAGUGCAACUCUGUCCAAAUGAC